UAUCACCUUUAGGGGCUGAAUCUUGCUAUUCAGGAGUCCUGAUGUUAUUACUCAACUUUUUUGGUGUGCAGUGAGUCAAUAUCAACUGGAGAAUCAUUUCAUUUACAGCAGAAAGUUAAAGUUCUGGAGCGUAAAACACAGUCAGGGUCAUAAAAACACACAUCAAAAGAAAAAUGUGGCUUAAUUUAUUACCUCAAUUUGUGCUCCAGUUUUCCUUGCUAUUGUUCUUUUUAUUAAUUGUAUGAUUUUUUGUAUGGUUUAUUCAUAAACAGAAUGCUGUCCCCAAAUGGAUGAACCUGUUGACUAGCCGAUCAGUAAACUGUAAAUGCUGCUGUAAAAUAAAGAGUGUUUGGGCGAUAAAUCAGACAGGAAGAAUUCUCGGUUUCCCCGGGGAGCAUUUUUGAAGACUUUCUAGGAAAGUCCCAAUACAAAGGAACAACUCCACUUCAAAGUGUCCCGUGAAAAGCUACAUCCCAGGAGAACCUGCCUUCCAAAAAGCUCACCCCUCCUCCCGCAGUGGUACCCACUGCCAGGCAGCCAGGACUGUUAAUACAUGCAGUGAUGGGCACAUCCUGAAUAUUCCUGAAGAUUCAUUGGAAGGACUGAUGCUGAAGCUUCAAUACUCUGGCCACCUGAUGCCAAGAGCUGACUCAUUGGAAGAGACUCUGAUGCUGAGAAAGAUUGCGAACAGGA
RNAcentral lists this long non-coding RNA (693 nucleotides) under Bos indicus x Bos taurus (hybrid cattle). Its description in RNAcentral is "lncRNA (ENSBIXG00000029685.1)". The record is from RNAcentral. Lineage: Eukaryota; Metazoa; Chordata; Mammalia; Artiodactyla; Bovidae.